This 229-nucleotide ribosomal RNA is filed under the name uncultured Lactobacillus sp. Its description in RNAcentral is "partial 16S ribosomal RNA". It matches the Rfam family "Bacterial small subunit ribosomal RNA", at positions 136 to 354 of the family's 1533-position model. The record is from RNAcentral. Lineage: Bacteria; Bacillati; Bacillota; Bacilli; Lactobacillales; Lactobacillaceae.
GACGUGGGAUACCACUUAGGAAACAGGUGCUAAUACCGGAUAACAACAUGAAUCGCAUGAUUCAAGUUUGAAAGGCGGCGUAAGCUGUCACUUUAGGAUGAGCCCGCGGCGCAUUAGCUAGUUGGUGGGGUAAAGGCCUACCAAGGCAAUGAUGCGUAGCCGAGUUGAGAGACUGAUCGGCCACAUUGGGACUGAGACACGGCCCAAACUCCUACGGGAGGCAGCAGAC